ACGGGAGGCAGCAGUGGGGAAUAUUGCACAAUGGGGGAAACCCUGAUGCAGCGACGCCGCGUGAGUGAAGAAGUUAUUCGUAAUGUAAAGCUCUAUCAGCAGGGAAGAAAAUGACGGUACCUGACUAAGAAGCCCCGGCUAACUACGUGCCAGCAGCCGCGGUAAUACGUAGGGGGCAAGCGUUAUCCGGAUUUACUGGGUGUAAAGGGAGCGUAGACGGUCUUGCGAGUCUGAUGUGAAAGGCAGGGGCUCAACUCCUGGACUGCAUUGGAAACUGUAAGUCUUGAGUGCCGGAGAGGUAAGCGGAAUUCCUAGUGUAGCGGUGAAAUGCGUAGAUAUUGAGAGGAACACCGGUGGCGAAGGCGGCUUUCUGGACUGUAACUGACGCUGAGGCGCGAAAGCGUGGGGAGCAAACAGGAUUAGAUACCCUGGUA
This 434-nucleotide ribosomal RNA is filed under the name uncultured Clostridium sp. Its description in RNAcentral is "partial 16S ribosomal RNA". It matches the Rfam family "Bacterial small subunit ribosomal RNA", at positions 341 to 792 of the family's 1533-position model. Lineage: Bacteria; Bacillati; Bacillota; Clostridia; Eubacteriales; Clostridiaceae. The record is from RNAcentral.